This is a small nucleolar RNA of Dendrobium catenatum, 94 nucleotides long. RefSeq annotates it as small nucleolar RNA R11/Z151. NCBI's taxonomy places the organism in Eukaryota, Viridiplantae, Streptophyta, Magnoliopsida, Asparagales, Orchidaceae. The record is from RefSeq and is a predicted model, not a curated record. The transcript has a single exon.
GGGCUGAUGAUGAUUGAUCGUAAAGAUCUAGCGGAUUUCUGUGAGGCUACUAGCCGUUGAUCGCAGUAAAUUGUUGUUACACACACUGAAGCCU